GGGGCCGUCGUCUAGCAUGGACAAGGAUGCCAGCCUGGGGCGCUGGCGGUCCGGGGUUCAAAUCCCCGCGGCCCCACCA
This 79-nucleotide transfer RNA is filed under the name Acidianus sp. RNAcentral describes it as "tRNA-Pro". It matches the Rfam family "tRNA". From Rfam's summary of the family: Transfer RNA (tRNA) molecules are approximately 80 nucleotides in length. Their secondary structure includes four short double-helical elements and three loops (D, anti-codon, and T loops). RNAcentral also lists the same sequence under 2 other names. Lineage: Archaea; Thermoproteati; Thermoproteota; Thermoprotei; Sulfolobales; Sulfolobaceae. The record is from RNAcentral.